GACGAACGCUGGCGGCGUGCCUAAUACAUGCAAGUCGGGCGGGCCUCCGGAGGUGCUUGCACCUCCGGAAGGCCAGCGGCGGACGGGUGAGUAACACGUGGGCAACCUGACUUUGAGGCCGGGAUACCACCGGGAAACCGGUGCCAAUACCGGAUACGUCCUCUUUCGCGCCUGCGAGCGGGGCGAGAGACGGUCUUUAAGGACGUCGCUCACAGAGGGGCCCGCGGCGCAUUAGCUGGUUGGUGGGGGAAGGGCCUACCAAGGCGACGAUGCGUUGCCGACCUGAGAGGGUGAUCGGCCACACUGGGACUGAGACACGGCCCAGACUCCUGCGGGAGGCAGCAGUAGGGAAUCAUCCGCAAUGGGCGAAAGCCUGACGGUGCAACGCCGCGUGAGUGAGGAAGGUUUUCGGAUCGUAAAGCUCUGUUGUGAGGAAAGAACAGCUUCCGGAGGAAAUGCCGGAGGUUUGCCGGUACCUCACCAGAAAGCCCCGGCUAACUACGUGCCAGCAGCCGCGGUAA
This 521-nucleotide ribosomal RNA is filed under the name uncultured bacterium. Its description in RNAcentral is "partial 16S ribosomal RNA". It matches the Rfam family "Bacterial small subunit ribosomal RNA", at positions 28 to 523 of the family's 1533-position model. The record is from RNAcentral.